This 636-nucleotide unclassified non-coding RNA is filed under the name Hevea brasiliensis (rubber tree). Lineage: Eukaryota; Viridiplantae; Streptophyta; Magnoliopsida; Malpighiales; Euphorbiaceae. The record is from RNAcentral.
CACUGGUAUUACAUAUACUAAAGCACAAAUCAGGCAAGAAUACACAAAUAAGGCCAAAGGCCAAAUUAUAAGGAAACUUAGAUUCAAAUACAGACCGACCAAUAAAGGUCCAUGUCACUACACAGUAUAAUCCUAGCCCCUUUUUCAACACAGAAAGAAGCAUUUUGCGCCACCCAUCGAAAACCCAAGGAACCAGACAGUCGAAGAACAAUAAAGAGAAAGCUUCCGUAGAGUCAUGCACGACUAGAAAACCAAGCAGAGCCAAGACGAAAACCCGAAAAAAGCAAUAAACAACACAUCGCCUCCUGAGGGAAUAUCGACAUCUAGAAUUGUCAACUUUGGAGAGAAGGGAGGCAAAGGGCAUGGCAAUAUAGUAUUCUCUAGCCAUGAAGCAUCAACUAACUGAAUCUUCAAACGCCAGCUCUUAACCUCAAAGAUGCCUCCCUUUGGAUUUGCUCCCAAAGCCAACACAUAUACCAAACACUCCAACCUAUAAACCCAUAGAAAUAGAUCACCAAGACAACCCUCUCAUUCAAGCUCUAGAUUUGCAAACCAAGAAACAAAAACCAAAAUCUUAUCUACAGCCAUCCUAGAGGGUGGGGAGGGAAGCAAGCCCACACUUUAGGUGGGAGAAAG